RNAcentral lists this ribosomal RNA (414 nucleotides) under uncultured bacterium. Its description in RNAcentral is "bacterial SSU rRNA". It matches the Rfam family "Bacterial small subunit ribosomal RNA", at positions 355 to 786 of the family's 1533-position model. The record is from RNAcentral.
UCGGGAACAUUGCGCAAUGGAGGAAACUCUGACGCAGUGACGCCGCGUGCAGGAAGAAGGUUUUCGGAUUGUAAACUGCUUUAGACAGGGAAGAAAAAAGACAGUACCUGUAGAAUAAGCUCCGGCUAACUACGUGCCAGCAGCCGCGGUAAUACGUAGGGAGCAAGCGUUAUCCGGAUUUAUUGGGUGUAAAGGGUGCGUAGACGGGAAGACAAGUUAGUUGUGAAAUCCCUCGGCUUAACUGAGGAACUGCAACUAAACUAUCAUUCUUGAGUGCUGGAGAGGAAAGUGGAAUUCCUAGUGUAGCGGUGAAAUGCGUAGAUGUUAGGAGGAACACCAGUGGCGAAGGCGACUUUCUGGACAGUAACUGACGUUGAGGCACGAAAGUGUGGGGAGCAAACAGGAUUAGAUACC